This 498-nucleotide ribosomal RNA is filed under the name Acetobacter indonesiensis. RNAcentral's name for it is "bacterial SSU rRNA". It matches the Rfam family "Bacterial small subunit ribosomal RNA", at positions 61 to 603 of the family's 1533-position model. Lineage: Bacteria; Pseudomonadati; Pseudomonadota; Alphaproteobacteria; Acetobacterales; Acetobacteraceae. The record is from RNAcentral.
GUCGCACGAAGGUUUCGGCCUUAGUGGCGGACGGGUGAGUAACGCGUAGGAAUCUAUCCGUGGGUGGGGGAUAACUCUGGGAAACUGGAGCUAAUACCGCAUAAUACCUGAGGGUCAAAGGCGCAAGUCGCCUGCGGAGGAGCCUGCGUUUGAUUAGCUUGUUGGUGGGGUAAUGGCCUACCAAGGCGAUGAUCAAUAGCUGGUCUGAGAGGAUGAUCAGCCACACUGGGACUGAGACACGGCCCAGACUCCUACGGGAGGCAGCAGUGGGGAAUAUUGGACAAUGGGGGCAACCCUGAUCCAGCAAUGCCGCGUGUGUGAAGAAGGUUUUCGGAUUGUAAAGCACUUUCGGCGGGGACGAUGAUGACGGUACCCGCAGAAGAAGCCCCGGCUAACUUCGUGCCAGCAGCCGCGGUAAUACGAAGGGGGCUAGCGUUGCUCGGAAUGACUGGGCGUAAAGGGGGUGUAGGCGGUUUGUACAGUCAGAGGUGAAAUCCC